AAAUAAUUAAUUUGGGGGAAACAUGUUUAGAUGACCUACAGGCAGUGUAACAGAGGGAGAGGAGCUGAGACUGACUGCUCUGUAUUGUACGAUGGAGUGAGA
Long non-coding RNA from Sander lucioperca (pikeperch), 102 nucleotides. RefSeq lists it as uncharacterized. The transcript is spliced from 3 exons. Lineage: Eukaryota; Metazoa; Chordata; Actinopteri; Perciformes; Percidae. The record is from RefSeq and is a predicted model, not a curated record.